GAUGAAGAACGUAGCGAAAUGCGAUACUUGGUGUGAAUUGCAGAAUCCCGUGAACCAUCGAGUCUUUGAACGCAAGUUGCGCCCGAAGCCACUAGGCCGAGGGCACGCCUGCCUGGGCGUCACACGCCGUUGCCCCCCCAUCUACUCCUUCGGGAUUGCGGGGGGGCGGAUGAUGGCCUCCCGUGCGCCUAGCCGCGCGGUUGGCAUAAAUACCAAGUCCUCGGCGACGCACGCCACGACAAUCGGUGGUUGCGAAACCUCGGUUGCCCGUCGUGUGCGUUCGUCGCGCAUCAAGGGCUCGAAAAAAUGCUCGGCUCCGGCUGGGCUUUCAACGCGACCCCAGGUCAGGCGGGGUUACCCGCUGAAUUUAAGCAUAUCAAUAGCGGAGGA
RNAcentral lists this unclassified non-coding RNA (390 nucleotides) under soil metagenome. RNAcentral describes it as "partial contains 5.8S ribosomal RNA, internal transcribed spacer 2, and large subunit ribosomal RNA". The stretch from base 1 to 122 matches the Rfam family "5.8S ribosomal RNA", at positions 35 to 154 of the family's 154-position model. The record is from RNAcentral.